UACGGAGGAUGCAAGCGUUAUCCGGAAUCAUUGGGUUUAAAGGGUGCGUAGGCGGGAUUGUAAGUCAGUGGUGAAAUUUCCGGGCUUAACCUGGGCGCUGCCAUUGAUACUGCAGUUCUUGAGUAUUGGAGAGGCAAGUGGAAUUCCUAGUGUAGCGGUGAAAUGCAGAGAUAUUAGGAGGAACACCGAUGGCGAAGGCAUCUUACCAGAACGGCUUCGACAGUGAGGGACGAAAGCUGGGGGAGCAAAC
Molecule: ribosomal RNA, 250 nt
Filed under: uncultured bacterium
Lineage: Bacteria
Description: partial 16S ribosomal RNA
Rfam family: Bacterial small subunit ribosomal RNA
Source: RNAcentral